Molecule: ribosomal RNA, 56 nt
Filed under: uncultured bacterium
Lineage: Bacteria
Description: partial 16S ribosomal RNA
Source: RNAcentral
AAACCGGCAAACGGAGGACGGACGCCGUCCCAAGGAGUGUAUUGGUAACUGGGGUG